RNAcentral lists this long non-coding RNA (611 nucleotides) under Rattus norvegicus (Norway rat). RNAcentral describes it as "long non-coding RNA NONRATT013980". The record is from RNAcentral. Lineage: Eukaryota; Metazoa; Chordata; Mammalia; Rodentia; Muridae.
GGAGACAAGGAGACUGAGACUCCACACUGUGGAGAUGAGCAAUCAUGACAUACUUUACUUCUUUCCUUUUCUUAGACACUGUUACUUUGUCAGACGCAGUACAUGAACCGCACCAGCAAAUCUCUCCACUCCUGGGAAUGAAGGCCAGUGUUACCUUCACUGCAGAUGACAAAAAAAUAAUGGUUCCCUUGCCCCCUCUCAGGUACCCCAACCAGCACACAUGCUCACAUUCACAGACACACGCUUACCUUUGGCUUUUGACCACUCUAUUUUCAGUGAAGUAUCACUUGUCUUUUGAGAAACUCAUAUAUUACAUAAUAUUUAUCCCUGUGAAGCUCAAAAUAUACUAAAUGAUACAUUGUAUGUUUGCUUCCUGUAAAUCUUUAUUUAAGCAAUUUAUAUGUACUUUGUGAGUUGUCCUACUGUGCAUUUUAAAGGGAUAGCAUUUGUUGAUAAUCAAUUAGAAUUUUGAUAAAAUUCACCAGACAUUGAGCUCUGACUAAGAAAUGAAACACCUAUGACAUAAUUGCUUCAGUGGGAAAACAUAUGACCUACCCCAUCUUCUUCUUAGUUACAAUCUAUUCUGAAUUAAUAAUAGUCUGGGGAAAUCU